Molecule: unclassified non-coding RNA, 391 nt
Filed under: soil metagenome
Description: partial contains 5.8S ribosomal RNA, internal transcribed spacer 2, and large subunit ribosomal RNA
Rfam family: 5.8S ribosomal RNA (bases 1-122)
Source: RNAcentral
GAUGAAGAACGUAGCGAAAUGCGAUACUUGGUGUGAAUUGCAGAAUCCCGUGAACCAUCGAGUCUUUGAACGCAAGUUGCGCCCGAAGCCAUUAGGUCGAGGGCACGCCUGCCUGGGCGUCACACGUCGUUGCCCCCCCAUCUACUCCUUCGGGAUUGCGGGGGGCGGAUGAUGGCCUCCCGUGCGCCUCGCCGCGCGGUUGGCAUAAAUGCCAAGUCCUCGGCGACGCACGCCACGACAAUCGGUGGUUGCGAAACCUCGGUUGCCCGUCGUGUGCGGUCGUCGCGCAUCGAGGGCUCGAAAAAAUUGCCGGGUUCCGGCUCGGCUUUCAACGCGACCCUAGGUCAGGCGGGGUUACCCGCUGAAUUUAAGCAUAUCAAUAAGCGGAGGA